RNAcentral lists this ribosomal RNA (161 nucleotides) under uncultured bacterium. RNAcentral describes it as "partial 16S ribosomal RNA". It matches the Rfam family "Bacterial small subunit ribosomal RNA", at positions 1340 to 1500 of the family's 1533-position model. The record is from RNAcentral.
AAUCGUAGGUCAGCAUACUACGGUGAAUACGUUCCCGGGCCUUGUACACACCGCCCGUCAACCAUGAGAGUUGGCAACACCCGAAGUCGGUAGUCUAACCGCAAGGAGGACGCCGCCGAAGGUGGGGUUGAUGAUUUAGGGUUAAGUCGUAACAAGGUACC